CUAAGCCAUGCGAGUCAAAUGUUCUUCGUGAACAUGGCGUACUGCUCAGUAACACGUGGAUAACCUGCCCUUAGGACUGGCAUAACCCCGGGAAACUGGGGAUAAUUCCGGAUAGUUCAUGGUAGCUGGAAUGCUCCAUGAUCGAAAGCUAUUGCGCCUAAGGAUGGGUCUGCGGUCUAUCAGGUAGUAGUGGGUGUAAUGUACCUGCUAGCCGACGACGGAUACGGGUUGUGGGAGCAAGAGCCCGGAGAUGGAUUCUGAGACAUGAAUCCAGGCCCUACGGGGCGCAGCAGGCGCGAAAACUUUACAAUGCGGGAAACCGCGAUAAGGGGACACCGAGUGCCAGCAUCUUAUGUUGGCUGUCCGCAUGUAUAAAUCACAUGUGUUAGCAAGGGCCGGGCAAGACCGGUGCCAGCCGCCGCGGUAACACCGGCGGCCCGAGUGGUGGCCACUAUUAUUGGGUCUAAAGGGUCCGUAGCCGGUUUGGUCAGUCUUCCGGGAAAUCUGACGGCUUAACCGUUAGGCUUUCGGGGGAUACUACCAGGCUUGGGACCGGGAGAGGUAAGAGGUACUACGGGGGUAGGAGUGAAAUCUUGUAAUCCUCGUGGGACCACCAGUGGCGAAGGCGUCUUACCAGAACGGGUCCGACGGUGAGGGACGAAAGCUGGGGGCACGAACCGGAUUAGAUACCCGGGUAGUCCCAGCCGUAAACUAUGCUCGCUAGGUGUCAGGGACGGUGCGACCGUUUCUGGUGCUGCAGGGAAGCCGUGAAGCGAGCCACCUGGGAAGUACGGUCGCAAGGCUGAAACUUAAAGGAAUUGGCGGGGGAGCACUACAACGGGUGGAGCCUGCGGUUUAAUUGGACUCAACGCCGGAAAACUCACCGGGGGCGACAGCAAUAUGUAGG
Molecule: ribosomal RNA, 907 nt
Filed under: uncultured archaeon
Lineage: Archaea
Description: bacterial SSU rRNA
Rfam family: Archaeal small subunit ribosomal RNA
Source: RNAcentral